RNAcentral lists this ribosomal RNA (535 nucleotides) under uncultured bacterium. Its description in RNAcentral is "bacterial SSU rRNA". It matches the Rfam family "Bacterial small subunit ribosomal RNA", at positions 977 to 1509 of the family's 1533-position model. The record is from RNAcentral.
GGCCUUGACAUACUAAGAACUUUCCAGAGAUGGAUUGGUGGCCUUCGGGAACUUAGAUACAGGUGCUGCAUGGCUGUCGUCAGCUCGUGUCGUGAGAUGUUGGGUUAAGUCCCGNAACGAGCGCAACCCUUUUCCUUAUUUGCCAGCGGGUCAUGCCGGGAACUUUAAGGAUACUGCCAGUGACAAACUGGAGGAAGGCGGGGACGACGUCAAGUCAUCAUGGCCCUUACGGCCAGGGCUACACACGUGCUACAAUGGUCGGUACAAAGGGUUGCUACCUCGCGAGAGGAUGCUAAUCUCAAAAAAGCCGAUCGUAGUCCGGAUCGCAGUCUGCAACUCGACUGCGUGAAGUCGGAAUCGCUAGUAAUCGCGGAUCAGAAUGCCGCGGUGAAUACGUUCCCGGGCCUUGUACACACCGCCCGUCACACCAUGGGAGUUUGUUGCACCAGAAGUAGGUAGUCUAACCGCAAGGAGGACGCUUACCACGGUGUGGCCGAUGACUGGGGUGAAGUCGUAACAAGGUAGGCGUAGAUGA